GACGAACGCUGGCGGCGUGCCUAAUACAUGCAAGUCGAACGCACUCUCGUUUAGAUUGAAGGAGCUUGCUCCUGAUUGAUAAACAUUUGAGUGAGUGGCGGACGGGUGAGUAACACGUGGGUAACCUGCCCUAAAGUGGGGGAUAACAUUUGGAAACAGAUGCUAAUACCGCAUAAAACCUAACACCGCAUGGUGUAGGGUUGAAAGAUGGUUUCGGCUAUCACUUUAGGAUGGACCCGCGGUGCAUUAGUUAGUUGGUGAGGUAAAGGCUCACCAAGACCGUGAUGCAUAGCCGACCUGAGAGGGUAAUCGGCCACACUGGGACUGAGACACGGCCCAGACUCCUACGGGAGGCAGCAGUAGGGAAUCUUCCACAAUGGACGAAAGUCUGAUGGAGCAAACGCCGCGUGAGUGAAGAAGGUUUUCGGAUCGUAAAACUCUGUUGUUGGAGAAGAAUGUAUCUGAUAGUAACUGAUCAGGUAGUGACGGUAUCCAACCAGAAAGCCACGG
Molecule: ribosomal RNA, 510 nt
Filed under: uncultured bacterium
Lineage: Bacteria
Description: bacterial SSU rRNA
Rfam family: Bacterial small subunit ribosomal RNA
Source: RNAcentral